Molecule: transfer RNA, 73 nt
Filed under: Labracinus cyclophthalmus (fire-tail devil)
Lineage: Eukaryota; Metazoa; Chordata; Actinopteri; Pseudochromidae
Description: tRNA-Asp
Rfam family: tRNA
About the family: Transfer RNA (tRNA) molecules are approximately 80 nucleotides in length. Their secondary structure includes four short double-helical elements and three loops (D, anti-codon, and T loops). Further hydrogen bonds mediate the characteristic L-shaped molecular structure. tRNAs have two regions of fundamental functional importance: the anti-codon, which is responsible for specific mRNA codon recognition, and the 3' end, to which the tRNAs corresponding amino acid is attached (by aminoacyl-tRNA synthetases). tRNAs cope with the degeneracy of the genetic code in two manners: having more than one tRNA (with a specific anti-codon) for a particular amino acid; and 'wobble' base-pairing, i.e. permitting non-standard base-pairing at the 3rd anti-codon position.
Source: RNAcentral
AAGAUACUAGUAAAAUUCAUCAUUACAUCGCCUUGUCAAGGUGAAAUCGUGGGUUAAACUCCCGCGUGUCUUG